GACAGAGGGUGCAAGCGUUGUUCGGAAUUACUGGGCGUAAAGCGCGUGUAGGCGGUUAUGCAAGUCGGGUGUGAAAGCCCGGAGCUCAACUCCGGAAGUGCAUUCGAUACUGCGUAGCUAGAGUACUGGAGAGGAUGGUGGAACUCUCGGUGUAGAGGUGAAAUUCGUAGAUAUCGAGAAGAACACCGGUGGCGAAGGCGGCCAUCUGGACAGAUACUGACGCUGAGACGCGAAAGCGUGGGGAGCAAACAGG
Molecule: ribosomal RNA, 253 nt
Filed under: uncultured bacterium
Lineage: Bacteria
Description: partial 16S ribosomal RNA
Rfam family: Bacterial small subunit ribosomal RNA
Source: RNAcentral